Molecule: RNA transcript, 4684 nt
Organism: Homo sapiens (human)
Lineage: Eukaryota; Metazoa; Chordata; Mammalia; Primates; Hominidae
Gene: SRSF3
Gene name: serine and arginine rich splicing factor 3
Exons: 7
Source: RefSeq, marked reviewed
CCGCCAUUUCGUGGACGCCGGGUGAGUGAGAGAGUUGGUUGGUGUUGGGCCGGAGGAAAGCGGGAAGACUCAUCGGAGCGUGUGGAUUUGAGCCGCCGCAUUUUUUAACCCUAGAUCUCGAAAUGCAUCGUGAUUCCUGUCCAUUGGACUGUAAGGUUUAUGUAGGCAAUCUUGGAAACAAUGGCAACAAGACGGAAUUGGAACGGGCUUUUGGCUACUAUGGACCACUCCGAAGUGUGUGGGUUGCUAGAAACCCACCCGGCUUUGCUUUUGUUGAAUUUGAAGAUCCCCGAGAUGCAGCUGAUGCAGUCCGAGAGCUAGAUGGAAGAACACUAUGUGGCUGCCGUGUAAGAGUGGAACUGUCGAAUGGUGAAAAAAGAAGUAGAAAUCGUGGCCCACCUCCCUCUUGGGGUCGUCGCCCUCGAGAUGAUUAUCGUAGGAGGAGUCCUCCACCUCGUCGCAGAGUCACCAUCAUGUCUCUUCUCACCACCCUCUGAAUCUGCAUUAGCCAGUCAACUAGCCCUUUCAGCGUCAUGUGACCAGCGCGCCCCAUUCAGCUUGGCUGGUGUCGUUUCACAUGACCCAGGCUGGCCAGUCGUCAGGUUGCACCGCCCUUUGGUUCCCGAGCAUGCUGUUUUCUCUCAGCCUUCUCUCCAACCUUAACCAAAUCGGCAGCAGCCACCUCGACCGCCCACACAUUCCUGGCCAAUCAGCUCAGCUGUUUAUUUACCAAAUGUCUUCACAACAACUACAGCAGCAGCCUUCGGCUAACAAAAAAGCAGGAAAAAUCCACAACACCCCCUUCGCCAACCAACUAAAUCCAACGCAACAUCUGGCAAAACCUUUUCAGCAAAUUCUUCCUGGCCGUCAGUCCGGCAGCCUCACCUCACCAUUUCUAGCUUGUUGAAACCCAAAACUAAUCUCCAAGAAGGAGAAGCUUCUCUCGCAGCCGGAGCAGGUCCCUUUCUAGAGAUAGGAGAAGAGAGAGAUCGCUGUCUCGGGAGAGAAAUCACAAGCCGUCCCGAUCCUUCUCUAGGUCUCGUAGUCGAUCUAGGUCAAAUGAAAGGAAAUAGAAGACAGUUUGCAAGAGAAGUGGUGUACAGGAAAUUACUUCAUUUGACAGGAGUAUGUACAGAAAAUUCAAGUUUUGUUUGAGACUUCAUAAGCUUGGUGCAUUUUUAAGAUGUUUUAGCUGUUCAAAUCUGUUUGUCUCUUGAAACAGUGACACAAAGGUGUAAUUCUCUAUGGUUUGAAAUGGAUCAUACGAGGCAUGUAAUACCAAGAAUUGUUACUUUACAAUGUUCCCUUAAGCAAAAUUGAAUUUGCUUUGAACUUUUAGUUAUGCACAGACUGAUAAUAAACCUCUAAACCUGCCCAGCGGAAGUGUGUUUUUUUUUAAAUUUAAAUACAGAAACAACUGGCAAAAAUUGAACUAAGAUUUACUUUUUUUUCCAUAGCUGGGAUAUAGGCUGCAGCUAUAGUUGAACAAGCAGUCUUUAAAAACUGCUGUGAAACACAGGCCAUCAGGGAAAACGAAAUGCUGCACUAUUAAAUUAGAGGUUUUUGAAAAAUCCAACUCUCAUCCUGGGCAGAGGUUGCCUAGUUGGUAUAGAAUGUUAAGUUUCAAGAAAGUUUACCUUUGCUUUAGGUCAUAAGUUCCUUAUUUGAUUGCUGUAUAUGGAUACAUGGCUGUUCGUGACAUUCUUUAUGUGCAAAUUUGUGAUUUCAAAAAUGUCCUGCCAGUUUAAGGGUACAUUGUAGAGCCGAACUUUGAGUUACUGUGCAAGAUUUUUUUUUCAUGCUGUCAUUUGUAAUAUGUUUUGUGAGAAUCCUUGGGAUUAAAGUUUUGGUUACAAAUUGUUCUUUAACUUGAAAGCCUGUUUUUCCUUGCAAACUCAAAUCUGUGAGCUUGGUACCAAGUCCAGGUAUAACAUUCCUAUUGGAAGCCAUACUUAUAUUUUCUUGUAAAGUGCUUUUGAAUUAAUAAAAUAUUAGCAUAAUUGUGUAUAGUCAGUUGAACCCACUGUUACCAUUGUUCUUAUCCCAUGGGAAGCAGUUGGUUACACGAUUCUUAUUUUAUAAGAAACAGCUGAGAGGCACUAUGGAUUAGUCUUCUGAAGUGAAGGAAAUAUAGAUGUCACCUAAGUGAUAGUUAACCCAUUUUUUUUUUUUUUAGGCAUAGAAGCCAGUUCAGGGUCCAUAAUAUUUAGUGACCAACAUUUUAAAGUAUAGCAGCAACCUGGUUCUUAAACACAAAGUAAGUUGCCCAUUAACAAAUGGCUUUUAUCUUUAGCAUGAAAACUUUCCACAGGUCUAAAAAUUGCUUCCAUUUUAUAAUUUGAGGUGUUGCAUGGGAAUUCUAAGCUGAUCCAUCAUGAUGUAAAAGUUCACAAUAUGGUUCAAAUGUAACAGUGCAGAAUUGAAUAUGGAGGCAUGCAUAACCUUCCUCUUAGAAAAUGGCAGGUGUUGUAAUUUCAAAUUUUUGUGCAAUUAGAUUAAAUCAUAAUGCAACAGUCUUGUGGCUUAGUUUCCUUAAAUAUGCUCUUAAGAUAGUUUUGGAUUAUGCGGUAUUGACUGUCUUAAAUAUGAAAGAUAAGUCAUUGCAUUAAGAGUUCAAGCUAAAUGGAUACAUUAAGAUACAGUUCCUAAACAAAUUAUUUAUUUCCACCUUUUACACAAAUCUUGGGAGAAUUGGUGUCAGGAAGGUUCAGCCUUAAAGUUAAGCAUGUUCAAGAAAGACACUUUUCAGACAGCCUGUUUAUUUACUGAGAGCUCUGGCAUUGGGCAUUUUGUCUUUAGUAUUCUCACAUAGCCUACAACCUGUUCCUGUUAGGAACAAGCCAAGAUAGCUAAGAAGUUACGGAAGCCAUGCAAUAUGUCAAUUACAUUGCUUUUUAUAAAUGGACAACUUAUGUGGGCAUUUUUGGGCAGUAUAUGACUUCCUUGCAGGCUCUUAAGUUGGAAGGGUUUCUGUAAAAAGGACAGUUACGGGUAUAAUAUGGCUAAGAGAAAUAAUACAGAACCUGAAAUAAAAGUAACUUCACCAGGGAGUUAUCCUGACUUAGGUGACAUACAGUCCCAGUUGGCAGUUACUUUAACCAGGAGCCCUAGCAUAACCUCAAGACUCUUAGAAACUUUAGAACAUGGAAAUUGUUAAAAGCUUUGAAUUGCACAUUUAGAUUGUGGCUAUUAGGAAUUUUUAAAGUUGUAAUUCCUAAAAUAACAGGUCACACUAACCGGUCUUGUCCAUAUUCAGGGUUGAGUGUAAAAAUGAAAGGAAUCACAAAACUGAACUUAGACCUGUGGUUUAAGGAUCAAGGUGUUCACUAGAAGUCACUGUUACUAAUACUUGAUGACAAUGUAAAGAAACAUUAAGGAUUAUAUUUGAUUGUUUUCAAAGACACUGGCUGGAUGUGGUGGCUCACACUUGUAAUUCCUAGCACUUUGGGAGGCUAGGGCGGGUGGGAGGAUCUCUUGAAGCCAGGAGUUGGAGACCAGUCUGCCCAACAUGGCAAGAUUCACAUUUCUAUUAAAAGGAAUAUUUAGUUUGAUCUCUGGUUCACAGUUCAUUGUGGGUUGCUUCUGACCUCCAUGUCUUAAGCAGAAAGUAGGGAAGUUGUAGUUUUACCAAGCACAGGUACCCUGUGUCUACCAUUUGAGUAUCUUAGAGAUCCUUACAAACGUGAUCCCGUCAGCGUCCAUGACACUCCCACCCUGUUAGACUGCUGUCAGUGGCUUUCACACAAACCCAUAUGUGGAUGGAAAAUCCAGGUUAUUACUACAUUCAUUUUAGUACAGUGCUGCCUAAUUAGAAAUUUUGUUGAAGAGGUAUUUCAGAAUAGAUACAGCCAGACUCCAGGCUCAUUGACUUAGUUUUUCAGGGUGACCUAACCCUGUGUAAUUUUGAGGAGUUCUACAUGAUAAAUACCCUUGGUGAUGUGAGAACCACUAGUUUAGUAUUUUGUCCAAGUAUGCUUUUUUUCAGAGUUCUGAAUGAGAUUUAGUUGUCAUACCUAGUUGGUGGUAAUUUCUUAGUUGUAUAUUUUUGUACUACCAGAUUGUUGCCUUCUGGUUUUCCAUCUUUUCGAGAAAGAUUUCUAGUUAAAGUUACUGAAGAAAAACUGGGUUGGAAGUACAUUUUUCUCUAAAUAAUCCAGUAGUGUUGAAUUUGAUUUUAUGUCCACUCUAAUUUUUUUCAUCCUGUUUUAUUAGGGGGAUUCAUCGGGUACCUGAAGAUAAUUCAGCUGUAGACCCCUUAAGGUUCUGAGACAAGGUCAUUGAAAUUUGUUUUGGCUGGGUGUGAUGGCUCAUGCCUGUAAUCCCGGUGCAUUGGGAGGUUGAGGCAGGUGGAUCACUUGUGGUCAGGAGUUGGAGACCAGCUUGGUCAACAUGGUGAAACCCCGUCUCUACUAACAGUACAAAAAUUAGCUGGGUGUGGUGGCAGGCGCCUAUAAUGCCAGCCACUUGGGAGGCUGAGGCAGGAGAAGUGCUUAAACCUGGUGGGUGGAGGUUGCCAUGAGCCGAGAUGUAGCCACUUCACUCCAGCCUGAGUGAAAGCAAAACUUCGUCUCCAAAAAAAAAAAAAAAGUUUGUUUUGGUAAGCCUAGUAUAAUUGAUUAGUUUUGUCCAUGCAACUUUCCCCUUGUUGGACUCUGUACUUAAUAAUACAGUAUUUAGAUUCUCA